CGGCGAACGGGUGAGUAACACGUGGGCAAUCUGACCUGGAGUGGGGAAUAACUCGGGGAAACUCGAGCUAAUACCGCAUACCUUCCUGGGAUCUCGAUCCCUUGAAGAAAGGUGGCUUCGGCUGCCGCUCCUGGAGGGGCCCGCGUCCGAUUAGCUUGUUGGUGAGGUAAUGGCUCACCAAGGCAACGAUCGGUAGCCGGCCUGAGAGGGCGAUCGGCCACAAUGAAACUGAGACACGGUCCAUACUCCUACGGGAGGCAGCAGUAGGGAAUAUUGCGCAAUGGGGGAAACCCUGACGCAGCAACGCCGCGUGAAGGAUGAAGGCCUUCGGGUCGUAAACUUCUGUCAGGUGGGAAGAAGGUCUCGUCGGUUAAGAGCUAGUGAGACUUGACGGUACCACCAGAGGAAGCCCCGGCUAACUCCGUGCCAGCAGCCGCGGUAAU
RNAcentral lists this ribosomal RNA (443 nucleotides) under uncultured bacterium. RNAcentral describes it as "bacterial SSU rRNA". It matches the Rfam family "Bacterial small subunit ribosomal RNA", at positions 96 to 524 of the family's 1533-position model. The record is from RNAcentral.